GACGAACGCUGGCGGCGUGCUUAACACAUGCAAGUCGAACGGAAAGGCCCUGCUCUUGCGGGGUGCUCGAGUGGCGAACGGGUGAGUAACACGUGAGUAACCUGCCCUUGACUUUGGGAUAACUUCAGGAAACUCGGGCUAAUACCGGAUAGGAGCUCCUGCUGCAUGGUGGGGGUUGGAAAGUUUCGGCGGUUGAGGCUGGACUCGCGGCUUAUCAGCUUGUUGGUGGGGUAGCGGCUUACCAAGGCUUUGACGGGUAGCCAGCCUGAGAGGGUGACCGGCCACAUUGGGACUGAGAUACGACCCAGACUCAUACGGGAGGCAGCAGUGGAGAAUAUUGCACGAUGGGCGGAAGCCUGAUGCAGCAACGCCGCGUGCGAGAUGACGGCCUUCGGGUUGUAAACCGCUUUCGCCUGUGACGAAGCGUGAGUGACGGUAAUGGGUAAAGAAGCACCGGCUAACUACGU
This 467-nucleotide ribosomal RNA is filed under the name uncultured bacterium. RNAcentral's name for it is "partial 16S ribosomal RNA". It matches the Rfam family "Bacterial small subunit ribosomal RNA", at positions 28 to 506 of the family's 1533-position model. The record is from RNAcentral.